CCAUCGCCGCUACCAUGCAGUCGAACGAGAAAGGGGAGCAAUCCCUGAGUACAGUGGCGUACGGGUGAGUAACACGUGGAUAAUCUACCCCUUAGUGAGGAAUAACUCUGGGAAACCGGAGCUAAUACCGCAUAAGCUCGAGAGAGGAAAGCGGCUUUGUGAAAGCAGAGCGGCGCUGAGGGAGGAGUCCGCGGCCGAUUAGCUAGUUGGCAGGGUAAGAGCCUACCAAGGCAAAGAUCGGUAGCCGGCCUGAGAGGGCACACGGCCACACUGGCACUGAAACACGGGCCAGACUCCUACGGGAGGCAGCAGUGGGGAAUCUUGCACAAUGGGGGAAACCCUGAUGCAGCGACGCCGCGUGAGCGAUGAAGCCCUUCGGGGUGUAAAGCUCUUUCGUCAGGGAAGAUGAUGACGGUACCUGGAGAAGCAGCUGCGGCUAACUACGUGCCAGCAGCCGCGGUAAUACGUAGGCAGCAAGCGUUGUUCGGAGUUACUGGGCGUAAAGGGUGUGUAGGCGGUUGUUUAAGUUUGGUGUGAAAUCUCCCGGCUCAACUGGGAGGGUGCGCCGAAUACUGAAUGACUAGAGUGCGGGAGAGGAAAGUGGAAUUCCUGGUGUAGCGGUGAAAUGCGUAGAUAUCAGGAGGAACACCGGUGGGUGUAGACGGCUUUCUGGACCGUAACUGACGCUGAGACACGAAAGCGUGGGUAGCAAACAGGAUUAGAUACCCUGGUAGUCCACGCCCUAAACGAUGCANAUUUUGGUGUGGGCAGUUCAUUCUGUCCGUGCCGGAGCUAACGCGUUAAAUAUGCCGCCUGGGGAGUACAGUCGCAAGGCUGAAACUCAAAGGAAUUGACGGGGGCCCGCACAAGCG
This 872-nucleotide ribosomal RNA is filed under the name uncultured soil bacterium. Its description in RNAcentral is "bacterial SSU rRNA". It matches the Rfam family "Bacterial small subunit ribosomal RNA", at positions 43 to 931 of the family's 1533-position model. The record is from RNAcentral.